AGCUAUGUAUCCCAUGAAUCCUUACCAACGGAACCAAGUACCUUACAAUCCUCAUUAUUAUCCCCACUUCGAAUCGAAUCCUCAUCAUCAUAUGAACAUUGAUCCAACUAGAUCUACAUUACCUUAUGAAUCUUGGCCUUGUGGUGGUAGCAGCUAUGGGCAUCCUUAUCCACCUCAGUGUCACAGUUGCUGUAUCCAUAACAAUUCUCCGAGCCAGUGUGCAUUUAGCCCUCCGUAUCCUUACCUUCCACCACCUACAUAUCCUGUGAUGUAUCCUACUCAUUAUGUUCC
RNAcentral lists this long non-coding RNA (291 nucleotides) under Solanum tuberosum (potato). RNAcentral's name for it is "long non-coding RNA (STUB_LNC002199)". The record is from RNAcentral. Lineage: Eukaryota; Viridiplantae; Streptophyta; Magnoliopsida; Solanales; Solanaceae.